CUUCAUCUUCUUCAUCAUCAGCUGCUCAGUGACUCUGUUGGACGUCUCACCGUGUGGCAGCAGCUCAGGAGUUUGCAGUCAACCAAGGCCGACUCAGAAUCACUCCCACCGGGAAGAUCUGUGAAGGAAGGUCCACCCGGCUGGUCCAGAAGCUCCGGUCCAGCAGAGCAGCGUCAGGAUGGAGACGUAACCGGUGUUGAUGUCACCGCCUUGACGAAUAGAAGAAAAGCCUAUAUUUGGGUAUGUAGGACUGGUAGUCCAGAGGUAGUGGUGGUGGUUUGGAACCUGGAGAGUGCAGGUUCGAUCCCCCACCCUGCUCAAGCUUUUUUUUUUACAUUUGGGCAAAAUUUGCCAAAAAUCUGCCUUCGUGCCUUCGUGCCUUCGUGCCUUCGUGCCUUCGUGCCUUCGUGCCUUCGUGCCUUCGUGCC
Molecule: long non-coding RNA, 428 nt
Organism: Amphiprion ocellaris (clown anemonefish)
Lineage: Eukaryota; Metazoa; Chordata; Actinopteri; Pomacentridae
Source: Ensembl